Molecule: ribosomal RNA, 684 nt
Filed under: Triticum aestivum (bread wheat)
Lineage: Eukaryota; Viridiplantae; Streptophyta; Magnoliopsida; Poales; Poaceae
Description: partial small subunit ribosomal RNA
Source: RNAcentral
AUGCAGACGGCGACGGCGGCGGCGGCGGCGCCGUGGGUGCCGACCCCUUCCCCGUCCACCUCCUCCUCCGCGACCCCCUUCAAGGCUAGGGUGGGGAUUGCGUUGCCUUGUCGGACGGGUGUCCGGACCUCCUCUGCCCCGAGGCUGGUUGCUACCCCCGCUCGCCGGCGGCGGCGGCAAGUGGUUCAGGCUAUUGCCAACCCAGAUCCAGCGGUCGAGCUGCCAUUGACUGCUGAAAAUGUUGAGUUGGUGUUGGAUGAAGUGCGACCUUACCUUAUGGCCGAUGGAGGUAAUGUCGUGUUGCAUGAGAUUGAUGGAAAUGUGGUGCGAUUGAAGCUGCAAGGAGCAUGUGGAUCAUGCCCAGCUUCAGUAACAACAAUGAAGAUGGGUAUUGAGCGACGUUUGAUGGAGAAAAUACCAGAGAUUGUUGCAGUUGAACCUAUUGCUGAUGAGGAGACUGGUCUUGAAUUGAAUGAAGAGAACAUAGAAAAGGUUCUUGACGAGAUCAGGCCAUACCUUUCUGGCACAGGGGGUGGUGAGCUUGAGUUUGUUUCAAUCGAGGAACCUAUCGUGAAGGUCAGGCUCACAGGCCCAGCUGCUGGCGUGAUGACUGUCCGAGUGGCCCUCACUCAGAAGCUCCGAGAAAAGAUCCCGAAAAUCGCAGCUGUCCAGCUAUUGUCGUAA